CCAGCUCCAAUAGCGUAUAGUUAAAGUUGUUGACAGUUAAAAAGCUCGUAGUUGAAUUUCGGGAUCAGAUUGUCGGUCGUGCCUCGGUACGCACUGGCAUUAUUGGUUCCUACCUUCUGAAGAACCGCGAUGUCAUUAAUUUGGUGUCGUGGGGAAUCAGGACUGUACUUUGAAAAAAUUAGAGUGUUUAAAGCAGGGCGCACGCUUGAAUACAUUAGCAUGGAAUAAUGAAAUAGGACGUUUGAUUUCUAUUUUGUUAGGUUUCUAGGAUCGACGUAAUGAUUAAUAGGGAUAGUUGGGGGCAUUAGUAUUCAAUUGUCAGAGGUGAAAUUCUUGGAUUUAUUGAAGACUAAACUACUGCGAAAGCAUUUGCCAAGGAUGUUUUCAUUAAUCAAGAACGAAAGUUAGGGGGAUCGAAGACGAUCAGAUACCGUCGUAGUCUUAACCAUAAACUAUGCCGACUAGGGAUCGGAUGAUGUUAAUUUUUAAUGACUCAUUCGGCGCCUUACG
This 510-nucleotide ribosomal RNA is filed under the name uncultured Glomus. RNAcentral describes it as "SSU rRNA". It matches the Rfam family "Eukaryotic small subunit ribosomal RNA", at positions 585 to 1092 of the family's 1831-position model. The record is from RNAcentral. Lineage: Eukaryota; Fungi; Glomeromycota; Glomeromycetes; Glomerales; Glomeraceae.